GAUGAAGAACGUAUCGAAAUGCGAUACGUAAUGUGAAUUGCAAAAUUCAGUGAAUCAUCGAGUCUUUGAACGCACAUUGCGCCCCCUGGUAUUCCGGGGGGCAUGCCUGUCCGAGCGUCAUUGCUGCCCUCAAGCACGGCUUGUGUGUUGGGCCUCCGUCCUCCUCCCGGGGGACGGGCCCGAAAGGCAGCGGCGGCACCGCGUCCGGUCCUCGAGCGUAUGGGGCUUCGUCACCCGCUCUUGUAGGCCCGGCCGGCGCUUGCCGACACAUCAAUCUUUUUUCCAGGUUGACCUCGGAUCAGGUAGGGAUACCCGCUGAACUUAAGCAUAUCAAUAAGUGGAGGA
This 345-nucleotide unclassified non-coding RNA is filed under the name soil metagenome. Its description in RNAcentral is "partial contains 5.8S ribosomal RNA, internal transcribed spacer 2, and large subunit ribosomal RNA". The stretch from base 1 to 120 matches the Rfam family "5.8S ribosomal RNA", at positions 35 to 154 of the family's 154-position model. The record is from RNAcentral.